RNAcentral lists this ribosomal RNA (429 nucleotides) under Pseudomonadota bacterium. Its description in RNAcentral is "Proteobacteria bacterium partial 16S ribosomal RNA". It matches the Rfam family "Bacterial small subunit ribosomal RNA", at positions 355 to 776 of the family's 1533-position model. Lineage: Bacteria; Pseudomonadati; Pseudomonadota. The record is from RNAcentral.
UGGGGAAUAUUGGACAAUGGGCGAAAGCCUGAUCCAGCCAUGCCGCGUGUGUGAAGAAGGUCUUCGGAUUGUAAAGCACUUUAAGUUGGGAGGAAGGGCAGUAAGCGAAUACCUUGCUGUUUUGACGUUACCGACAGAAUAAGCACCGGCUAACUCUGUGCCAGCAGCCGCGGUAAUACAGAGGGUGCAAGCGUUAAUCGGAAUUACUGGGCGUAAAGCGCGCGUAGGUGGUUCGUUAAGUUGAAUGUGAAAGCCCCGGGCUCAACCUGGGAGCUGCAUCCAAAACUGGCGGGCUAGAGUAGGGCAGAGGGUGGUGGAAUUUCCUGUGUAGCGGUGAAAUGCGUAGAUAUAGGAAGGAACACCAGUGGCGAAGGCGACCACCUGGGCUCAUACUGACACUGAGGUGCGAAAGCGUGGGGAGCAAACAGG